AUUGAACGCUGGCGGAAUGCUUUACACAUGCAAGUCGAACGGCAGCACGGGUGCUUGCACCUGGUGGCGAGUGGCGAACGGGUGAGUAAUACAUCGGAGCGUACCCAGUCGUGGAGGAUAACGUAGCGAAAGUUACGCUAAUACCGCAUACGUCCUGAGGGAGAAAGCGGGGGACCGUAAGGCCUCGCGCGAUUGGAGCGGCCGAUGGCGGAUUAGCUAGUUGGUGGGGUAAAGGCCUACCAAGGCGACGAUCCGUAGCGGGUCUGAGAGGAAGGCCCGACACACUGGAACUGAGACACGGUCCAGACUCCUACGGGAGGCAGCAGUGGGGAAUUUUGGACAAUGGGCGAAAGCCUGAUCCAGCCAGUCCGCGUGAGUGAAGAAGGCCUUCGGGUUGUAAAGCUCUUUCGGCAGGGAAGAAACGGCUUGGGAUAAUACCCCGGGCUAAUGACGGUACCUGAAGAAGAAGCACCGGCUAACUACGUGCCAGCCGCCGCGGUAA
RNAcentral lists this ribosomal RNA (502 nucleotides) under uncultured bacterium. Its description in RNAcentral is "partial 16S ribosomal RNA". It matches the Rfam family "Bacterial small subunit ribosomal RNA", at positions 29 to 523 of the family's 1533-position model. The record is from RNAcentral.